This 440-nucleotide ribosomal RNA is filed under the name uncultured bacterium. RNAcentral describes it as "partial 16S ribosomal RNA". It matches the Rfam family "Bacterial small subunit ribosomal RNA", at positions 338 to 795 of the family's 1533-position model. The record is from RNAcentral.
CCUACGGGGGGCAGCAGUGGGGGAUAUUGCACAAUGGGGGAAACCCUGAUGCAGCGACGCCGCGUGUGGGAAGACGGUCUUCUGGAUUGAAAACCACUGUCCCCAGGGACGAAAAUGACGGUACCUGGGGAGGAAGCUCCGGCCAACUACGUGCAAGCAGCCGCGGUAAUACGGAGGGAGCAAGCGUUGUCCGGAAUUACUGGGUGUAAAGGGAGCGUAGGCGGGGAUGCAAGUUGGGUGUCAAAACUACCGGCUCAACCGAUAGUCGCACUCAAAACUGCAGCUCUUGAGUGAAGUAGAGGCAGGCGGAAUUCCUAGUGUAGCGGUGAAAUGCGUAGAUAUUAGGAGGAACACCAGUGGCGCAGGCGGCCUGCUGGGCUUUUACUGACGCUGAGGCUCGAAAGUGUGGGGAGCAAACAGGAUUAGAUACCCCAGUAGUC